GAAUGUGAGGGUGAUCCGGCUGUGACAUAUGUCAUCCCAUUAAUGGCCAGGAUUGACUUAGCUGAUCUGGUUGGCUAGGCGGGUGUCCCCUUCCUCCCUCACCCCUCCAAGUGCAUCCCUCCUGAGGCUGCAUGUUCCGUCCGAGAGGAUGACCAUCCCUGAUAGAGGAGAACUGGUCUUUGGUCAAGGAUAUACAAGUAGCUGCACUCCCCUGCUAGAACCUCCAAACAACCUCUCAAGGUAAGAGUUUUUUGGAGAGAUACAUAGUUUUCUGCAUUCUUUAAAUUCCAAUCAGUAUAUCAAGACUUAGACCUUGCUG
This 319-nucleotide small nuclear RNA is filed under the name Piliocolobus tephrosceles (Ugandan red Colobus). Its description in RNAcentral is "7SK RNA (ENSPTEG00000027308.1)". It matches the Rfam family "7SK RNA". From Rfam's summary of the family: 7SK was discovered as an abundant small nuclear RNA in the mid-70s but a possible function has only recently been suggested. Two independent studies have found that 7SK RNA binds the CDK9/cyclin T complex (known as elongation factor P-TEFb). The record is from RNAcentral. Lineage: Eukaryota; Metazoa; Chordata; Mammalia; Primates; Cercopithecidae.